Molecule: transfer RNA, 74 nt
Filed under: Methanothrix sp.
Lineage: Archaea; Methanobacteriati; Methanobacteriota; Methanomicrobia; Methanotrichales; Methanotrichaceae
Description: tRNA-Arg
Rfam family: tRNA
About the family: Transfer RNA (tRNA) molecules are approximately 80 nucleotides in length. Their secondary structure includes four short double-helical elements and three loops (D, anti-codon, and T loops).
Source: RNAcentral
GCCGGUGUAGCUCAAGUGGAUAGAGUGCCUGCCUUCUAAGCGGGAAGAUGCCCGUUCAAGUCGGGUCACCGGCC